GCCUUCGUGGUGUAACGGUAGCACGCUGGCCCUGUAUUCCAGAGGCCCGUGGUUCGAUUCCCGGCGAAGGCG
This 72-nucleotide transfer RNA is filed under the name Stegodyphus dumicola. RNAcentral's name for it is "tRNA-Thr". It matches the Rfam family "tRNA". From Rfam's summary of the family: Transfer RNA (tRNA) molecules are approximately 80 nucleotides in length. Their secondary structure includes four short double-helical elements and three loops (D, anti-codon, and T loops). Further hydrogen bonds mediate the characteristic L-shaped molecular structure. tRNAs have two regions of fundamental functional importance: the anti-codon, which is responsible for specific mRNA codon recognition, and the 3' end, to which the tRNAs corresponding amino acid is attached (by aminoacyl-tRNA synthetases). tRNAs cope with the degeneracy of the genetic code in two manners: having more than one tRNA (with a specific anti-codon) for a particular amino acid; and 'wobble' base-pairing, i.e. permitting non-standard base-pairing at the 3rd anti-codon position. The record is from RNAcentral. Lineage: Eukaryota; Metazoa; Arthropoda; Arachnida; Araneae; Eresidae.